UCAAGCCAUCUGUAACCCUAUGCUUCCAAGAAGUCAUCAUCUUCUUCACCCAACAACCCUAGUCAAAACUCAACAUUGUCAUCAUCUUCUCUACUACAACCCAUCGGAUAACCCCAUUAAUCCCCUCUUAUUACAUCAAGACCGAUUCAAUUACUUUAUACCAAGAAGAAAGGGCAUAAUACUUUGAACAAUUGGAGAUUGGAGAAGAAUUGGGGUCGAUUUGGCUUUAUUAAUUCAAUAUAACAACUAUAAAUGUUCGAUUAUCAUUAAGUUUUUGCUCAUCAGAUGCUUGGAGAUAUGCUCUUGCAGUAACACCAUUGGGAAAAGGGUUGUUCUGGCCGGCCCCCGCCCAUCUGGAGGUGCACACCCAUUUAUGAACAUAUACAAAGGCUAAAGAGAGAAUUCCAUGGAGAACUACCAAAUCCAAUGACUUUGAUUUGUUCGUACCAUUCUGUCAUUGAUCACUGCUGGAUCGGUUGGUGAGUCACCAAAAAAAAAGCAUCGAGAAAGGUCAAGCAUAUAGGUUUUAUGAAAUGAUCAGCGGUUUCAUUUAUGUUAUGCUCUGCAUCGUGUUCGUCUGUGUUUAUUGAGCUUUCAUCGCCAUGCGCUUUGCUUCGCGGCAAAGCAAAACCAAGAGGAGGUCAUAGAUACGAAUCACUCUUUCUCGUAGGGCAUUUUUUUUGUAGUAAUGUAUUUUGGUCUUCAUCGUUGCCCACGGAGCGGUAACGGGCGGAAAGAGCUAUGAUAGGCAAGGUCGGCCCAAUACAUGGGUGAAUUGGGCAAAGGCCCAGGACAGCAAAUCAUAAGGGGCAUCAUUUUGGUCUAAUAAGUUGUAUGUUCGACAAUUGGUUCUUGACGGUAACUGGAAAAAAGAAAGAUGUAGUAAUUUCAAUCGAUGUUGGCAAGCAGAGGCGCGAGAAUUGAAAUGCUUGAAUCUGUUAUUGACGCUACUCGCCUAGAAUAACGAAGUGGUAAGACUCAACACUCGAGAAUCAAGAUGUAGAAAACGAGGAGUCGACUCUCUCUUUUCGAUUUCUUUAUGAAAACACACAAUUUCUGUAUACCUUCGUCCCUCUUUUAAUCAAUUUAUGAAUACCCUCUCAACCUCUGUUCCGAUGUCUUAUGCAUACACAAUUUAAGGAUACCCAAUUCUAAAAAGUGAAAGACAAGAGUUGGAGACAGACUUAACACUUCACCCUUUUCAAGUAUGCUUUUCUUUUGAUUAACCUCAGUUCAGAUUUUUAUUAACUAAUUUGCUGGAAGCCUGGAGUUACAUUUGUUUUAUUGUUCUUAUGAUUUCUAACGGUUUUUUUUUUAACAUUUUAAUUUUAUUUGAUUAAUUUGCGUACGUAUACUUGAUUCAGGAGGUAUAAGUUUCUAUCUAAAGUUCUAAUUAUGACAUAAUUAUGUUUAAAAUUUCAGAUUAUUGAGCCAAGUUGUCGAACCUCAAAGGUUUGGUAAUUUUUUCUUAAAUUUGAUUUUGGUUUUUGAUGAAUACCUAGAAUAAAAUAGCAUGUACGUUCUCUUUUUGACAAACACUACUUUCUAUCGGUCAUAUUCUCAAAUUUUCAUUCACAUAUUCUCAAUUUCUCAUUCUUAUUGUAAAUAUUUAUUUUUUAGUGAUUUCAUAGGUAAAGAGGGUUAACGUCUUAAUUAGACUGGAAAUAAAAUCGAUGAUUAAAGUUUCAAAGUUUGAGAUUCAUUAAAUCUUGAAACUCGAUAUGUUUUGUGGUUGGAAUCAAAGUUUAGAAACGGAGAAAGUAAAAACUCAGAAGUACACUAUUAUUGUUUGUCUCAUUUGCAUUGUACAUUGUAAUUUUGGGCAUUAGUUAAGUUGUUUUUCUCACCUACUGAUUCAAUAUGUUUGUUUUUCAGUCUGAAUUAAAAGUUGUGUGUUUCCAUGAGUUUGAUGUGUUUUUGACACAAAUUUAUGGUAAAGGAAAUUCUAUUUUGCACUUUGGUUUUA
Long non-coding RNA from Lactuca sativa (garden lettuce), 1966 nucleotides. RefSeq lists it as uncharacterized. Lineage: Eukaryota; Viridiplantae; Streptophyta; Magnoliopsida; Asterales; Asteraceae. The record is from RefSeq and is a predicted model, not a curated record.